GAUUAUGGCUCAGGAUGAACGCUAGCGAUAGGCCUAACACAUGCAAGUCGAGGGGCAGCACAUGAGUAGCAAUACGAUGGUGGCGACCGGCGCACGGGUGAGUAACACGUAUGCAACCUACCUUUAACAGGGGAAUAACCCGUUGAAAAACGGACUAAUACUCCAUAACACAGGGGUCCCGCAUGGGAAUAUUUGUUAAAGAUUAAUCGGUUGAAGAUGGGCAUGCGUUCCAUUAGCUUGUUGGUGAGGUAACGGCUCACCAAGGCCACGAUGGAUAGGGGAACUGAGAGGUUUAUCCCCCACACUGGAACUGAGACACGGUCCAGACUCCUACGGGAGGCAGCAGUGAGGAAUAUUGGUCAAUGGAGGCAACUCUGAACCAGCCAAGUCGCGUGAAAGGAUGAAGGUCUUAUGGAUUGUAAACUUCUUUUGCAAGGGAAUAAAGUGGGGGACGUGUCCUCCUUUGCAUGUACCUUGCGAAUAAGGAUCGGCUAACUCCGUGCCAGCAGCCGC
This 513-nucleotide ribosomal RNA is filed under the name uncultured bacterium. RNAcentral describes it as "bacterial SSU rRNA". It matches the Rfam family "Bacterial small subunit ribosomal RNA", at positions 15 to 518 of the family's 1533-position model. The record is from RNAcentral.